Leptinotarsa decemlineata (Colorado potato beetle) is the source of this 1420-nucleotide long non-coding RNA. NCBI's taxonomy places the organism in Eukaryota, Metazoa, Arthropoda, Insecta, Coleoptera, Chrysomelidae. The record is from RefSeq and is a predicted model, not a curated record.
CUGCAGUUCUCUAUGCAGAUGAUACUACAUUGGCAACUGAUUCAUAUAGUCCUGAAGACUUACAAAAAUAAAACUGAAUAAUUCAGCAGAGGAAUUCAUAAAUUGGCGUGAAAGAAAUUUUUUGAUAGUGAAUGCAGAGAAAACAGCAUUUCCAUUCUAGAUGAAGAUCUGUGUCUGGUAUUCAAGUGGUUGUCACUGCUCUCGGAAUGCUUACACUGAUUGGUGGUGAUAGUUUACCGUGAGUGGGGUCCAUAAAUAGCUUAGCCUGUCCCAAAUCAAAUGACAAAUUCUCUCGGUUCAGUCCUACCGGCUGCGUCAUGUUACAAUAUCACGUUAUAUAUGACCCGACAACUGUCAGUGCACAUAAUAUCUACAGGAAGGGGCAAUAUUGAAUAUGAAUCAGAGGGUUACUGAAAUUGUUUGUCUAUAGCGUUAGUCAGUCAUUUCAUCAUCAGUUAUGACAAGGGCGUAGUAAAAAAUAGAUUAUAUGAAGAGAAUACAGAAGUCAAAUUUUUCAAAGUUAUUGAGAUUUCAUCCUCCAAAUCGGCCAACCAUACCAUUCAGCCAACCGUUAUUAUGCAAGAGCCUGUGAUUCAUUGUGUCGAAACUAGGAUGGAGGCAAAUACUCUGUUUACAGUAGAAAAACCACAAGGUGGAUAAAUGUUCAUAUCGUGACUGUUUUUACCAUUCUUGCUGUAUAAAGGGUCAUUUGACACCUAAAUACCUUAAAACAAUCAGGUAUUACAAAUACAAAUUUUCAUAGUAAUACUUUUUUAGAUUCUGUGGAAUAUUCAUUAUUUAGGUACUAAGGUACCUAAAUUAAAAUUAAAAAUGAAUUAUUCCCCUGUUUCAAUUCAUUUUGACACGGAACUACUAGUGAGGUUGGUAAUUGAUGCUUAUGACUAUGGAAUUUUGACAUUAAUAUGGUCCCGAUUCCAUAAUCCAUUGCCAUACCUAGAAGAAAAAUGUUAUGAUUGUGGACGAUUUAUUAAUAUUUUCCAACAACAAAAAAACAACUGAAAAUUCAAAGGAAGACUUGAACGGAUGAUUCUGGAAAGAAAGAUAUGGAGGAAGCAAAAAGCUGUAUUGAGCUUAGAAUUACUAGAAAUCGAGAAAAAGGAUAUUCUGAGCCUGAUUGGAAAACGAUAUUGAACCGGAUAUGUAUUUCGACUUGCACCAGGUAAGGUCCAUUUCUUGGAAUUAUAAUGAAAGACAACAUGAUGUUGCAUAAUAAACAACUGAAUCAGCUAUGCAAGAAGUCAUGUGGUUAAAGCAAUUCGAAGAGGAAUUUAAACCAGGCAAUUUCAGUCUGUAGUGAUCUCUUGUGAUAACAAAAGUGCAAUAAAUGUAGCAACAAACAAUAGUGAAAGAUCUAAGCACAUUGAUAUUCGCCAUAAUUUAUGGAACAAAAGCUACAAGA